This 133-nucleotide ribosomal RNA is filed under the name uncultured bacterium. RNAcentral's name for it is "partial 16S ribosomal RNA". The record is from RNAcentral.
GAGGUUAGCCGUGGCUUAUUCCUGAAGUACUGUCAUAAUUCAUCCUUCAGAAAAGACCUUUACACCCCGAAGGGCUUCUUCGGUCACGCGGCGUCGCUGCAUCAGGGUUUCCCCCAUUGUGCAAAAUUCCUCA